CUAUCACUCCUACGGGAGGCAGCAGUGGGGAAUAUUGCACAAUGGGGGAAACCCUGAUGCAGCCAUGCCGCGUGUGUGAAGAAGGCCUUCGGGUUGUAAAGCACUUUCAGUAGGGAGGAAGGUAGUGUAGUUAACACCUGCAUUAUUUGACGUUACCUACAGAAGAAGCACCGGCUAACUCCGUGCCAGCAGCCGCGGUAAUACGGAGGGUGCGAGCGUUAAUCGGAAUUACUGGGCGUAAAGCGCAUGCAGGCGGCCUGUUAAGUCAGAUGUGAAAGCCCGGGGCUUAACCUCGGAAUUGCAUUUGAAACUGGCAGGCUAGAGUCUUGUAGAGGGGGUAGAAUUUCAGGUGUAGCGGUGAAAAUGCGUAGAGAUCUGAAGGAAUACCAGUGGCGAAGGCGGCCCCCCUGGACAAAGACUGACGCUCAGAUGCGAAAGCGUGGGGAGCAAACAGGAUUAGAUACCCCUGGUAG
RNAcentral lists this ribosomal RNA (473 nucleotides) under uncultured bacterium. RNAcentral describes it as "bacterial SSU rRNA". It matches the Rfam family "Bacterial small subunit ribosomal RNA", at positions 330 to 793 of the family's 1533-position model. The record is from RNAcentral.